CCUACGGGAGGCUGCAGUGGGGAAUAUUGCACAAUGGUGGAAACCCUGAUGCAGCGACGCCGCGUGAGUGAAGAAGUAUUUCGGUAUGUAAAGCUCUAUUAGCAGGGAAGAAAAUGCCGGUACCCGACUAAGAAGCCCCGGCUAACUACGUGCCAGCAGCCGCGGUAAUACGUAGGGGGCAAGCGUUAUCCGGAUUUACUGGGUGUAAAGGGGGCGUAGACGGCAGAGCAAGUCUGAAGUGAAAGCCCGGGGCCCAACUGCGGGACUGCUGUGGAAACUGCCCGGCUAGAGUGAUGGAGAGGUAAGCGGAAUGCGCAGUGUAGCGGUGAAAUGCGUAGAUAUUAGGAAGAACACCAGUGGCGAAGGCGGCAUACCGGAUAGUAACUGACGUUGAGGCACGAAAGCGUGGGGAGCAAACAGGAUUAGAUACCCCGGUAGUC
RNAcentral lists this ribosomal RNA (440 nucleotides) under uncultured bacterium. Its description in RNAcentral is "partial 16S ribosomal RNA". It matches the Rfam family "Bacterial small subunit ribosomal RNA", at positions 338 to 795 of the family's 1533-position model. The record is from RNAcentral.